This 433-nucleotide ribosomal RNA is filed under the name uncultured bacterium. Its description in RNAcentral is "partial 16S ribosomal RNA". It matches the Rfam family "Bacterial small subunit ribosomal RNA", at positions 29 to 507 of the family's 1533-position model. The record is from RNAcentral.
AACGAACGCUGGCGGCAUGCCUAACACAUGCCAGUCGAACGAGACCUUCGGGUCUAGUGGCGCACGGGUGCGUAACGCGUGGGAACCUGCCCUUAGGUUCGGAAUCACUCCCCGAAAGGGGUGCUAAUACCGGUUAAUGUCUUCGGACCAAAGAUUUAUCGCCUUUGGAUGGGCCCGCGUUGGAUUAGCUAGUUGGUAGGGUAAAAGCCUACCAAGGCGACGAUCCAUAGCUGGUCUGAGAGGAUGAUCAGCCACACUGGGGCUGAGACACGGCCCAGACUCCUACGGGAGGCAGCAGUGGGGAAUAUUGGACAAUGGGCGAAAGCCUGAUCCAGCAAUGCCGCGUGAGUGAUGAAGGCCUUAGGGUUGUAAAGCUCUUUUACCCGGGAUGAUAAUGACAGUACCGGGAGAAUAAGCACCGGCUAACUCCGUG